RNAcentral lists this ribosomal RNA (901 nucleotides) under methanogenic prokaryote enrichment culture B31_1_22. Its description in RNAcentral is "bacterial SSU rRNA". It matches the Rfam family "Bacterial small subunit ribosomal RNA", at positions 8 to 916 of the family's 1533-position model. The record is from RNAcentral.
AGAGUUUGAUCAUGGCUCAGGAUGAACGCUGGCGGCGUGCCUAAUACAUGCAAGUCGAACGAAGCACUUCGGUGCUUAGUGGCGAACGGGUGAGUAACACGUAGGUAACCUGCCCUCAAGACGAGGAUAACCGUUGGAAACGAUGGCUAAGACUGGAUAGGAACCGAGGAGGCAUCUCUUUGGUUUUAAAGGACCUGGCAACAGGUACGCUUGAGGAGGGGCCUGCGGCGCAUUAGUUAGUUGGCGGGGUGAAGGCCCACCAAGACGAUGAUGCGUAGCCGGACUGAGAGGUUGAACGGCCACAUUGGGACUGAGAGACGGCCCAAACUCCUACGGGAGGCAGCAGUAGGGAAUUUUCGGCAAUGGGGGCAACCCUGACCGAGCAACGCCGCGUGAACGACGAAGUACUUCGGUAUGUAAAGUUCUUUUAUCAGGGAAGAAUGGCUUACGGAAAAGUGAGCGUGACGGUACCUGAUGAAUAAGCCCCGGCUAACUAUGUGCCAGCAGCCGCGGUAAUACAUAGGGGGCAAGCGUUAUCCGGAAUUAUUGGGCGUAAAGGGUGCGUAGGUGGCCGUUUAAGUCUUUGGUGUAAGUGCAAGGCUCAACCUUGUGAUGCUAAAGAAACUGGAUGGCUUGAGUGUGGUAGAGGCAAGUGGAAUUCCAUGUGUAGCGGUAAAAUGCGUAAAUAUAUGGAGGAACACCGGUGGCGAAGGCGGCUUGCUGGGCCACAACUGACACUGAGGCACGAAAGCGUGGGGAGCAAACAGGAUUAGAUACCCUGGUAGUCCACGCCGUAAACGAUGAGUACUAAGUGUAGGGGAAACUCUGUGCUGUAGUUAACGCAAUAAGUACUCCGCCUGAGUAGUACGUACGCAAGUAUGAAACUCAAAGGAAUUGACGG